Musa acuminata subsp. malaccensis (wild Malaysian banana) is the source of this 1316-nucleotide non-coding RNA. NCBI's taxonomy places the organism in Eukaryota, Viridiplantae, Streptophyta, Magnoliopsida, Zingiberales, Musaceae. The record is from RefSeq and is a predicted model, not a curated record.
UAUUUUCGUAACACACAUUUAUAUACAGUCGAUAAUUCGGAUGUUAUUUUAAACCAUCAAAAUAAAUUUCUAUGCAAAAUGUUCAUAUUUUGCUUAUCAAUCUCCUUUUUCCUGUUCUUCCACCUCACAGAAGCCUUUGGCAAUGGCUCGCUAACAUGUUCGUAAAUGCAUCUUAAGCGAGCCACAGUUGAUCGCUCGCUUGAACAGAUGCCACACUUCGUUUGCUGUAGGUGUGCUUCAUGACCAUUCACAUCAAGAUCACAGCUUGUGCAGCUGCAGUAUGUGACUGGCUAAGUGGCCACCAUCACGAUUCCUCUUCUUGCAAAUGACAUGCUUUAAUGCAGUGAUGAGAUCAAGGGAUGAGAGUUUGGCAGUGAUAUACCUCCCGCUUGUGGAGCUUAUGGUUCAGCUGCGUCGAGCGGUAAGCAAGCAUAAAGAUUCAAGCUUUAGGGCUUUCCGCAGUCAUAGCGUGGGUUCCCAUGGCGAACUGAACUCGGAGGGGCAUUUGGUGUUUGCGCAACUGGGAAAUCAGUAGCAGCUUCUCGGACAUCGGCGGCGGCGGCCACGGCCAUGGUGUUGAGAGUUCGGACAGCGAGGGAGGGUUUCGGCGUCCAAGAUGGAAACUUUAUAAACGUACCAAGUAGGGUUCCGGCUCUGCUUCCGUCUCGAGGAAUCGGGUUGGUAUUCACGGGAACCGUCGGAUGGGAUCCAACGGAGGGCGUGGCAACCAUCGAAGAGUCACGAGUGAGAUCCGCGAGCCGCAUUCCUCUCGUCUCUAUCCGGUCGUUCGCGGUCCAAUCAAAGACUGUCGCUUCUCCAAUCCGCCGCUUGUCGUCGUUCUCUAGGGUUCCUGUGGAACUGGGUUGCUGGGGUGGUUCUUUCUUCCCUUUGCACAGUGCGGUGGCGGCGGCAAAAUUGACUUCGCAGCUGAGCUCGGCGUCUCGGAGCGCUCGGGCUCUUUCACAGGGUUUCGUCGGCCGCGCCUGUCCGGGACCCUAGUGAUGUUGUUUCUCCCAUCAGGUUAUCUGUAAACGAGAACAAUGGAGCGUGAAAGAUUUGGUACCAUCCUGUAUCUCCAAGGAUGAUUCACCCAUGAUGCAAAAUUUGUGGUUUACGGAAGGAUGGCUCAUCUUCUGAGACGGUGAAGUUGAUCUCACUGCAGUGUUUUUACCUGUUAUUGGAUUGAUGAAAUUUGUACAAGUUCACUUCUGAUCAUACGAACUAAGCGUAUCUUUCGACACUGUUCUUGUGCUGACUCGCAGACAUUAUCUACUUUGUGGUAACAGGUGCGCCUUAAAAGUCAAUGUUCGUGUUAA